AAACCGAGAGAGGAAUAAAAAUUUAAUUGAUAGGAACCGAAUAGAAGCCAGCAACCAUCUACUUGUCUAAGCGGUGAAGUGUAGAAAUUAACUGAGACUGGGGCGGUGAGUUGAGACAGCUGCCAGGAAGGAAUGCAUCACCAAAUUUGCUGAAUAAGUAGUGACCGAAAGAGAGACAAUAAAGAGAAAUUAUCUGCUGAGUCCAAGCGGUGGAAGGGAGAAAACCAGUAGGAAUUGGCUUCUAGAUUGUGCGGUACCUGUUAAGACAGCUGCCCAUUUAUUUGCUACGUGAGGUGAUGACCGAAUGAGAGGAGCUAAGAAAUUCAUUUGUGCACUAGUUGGGCGGUGACCGAGAGGGUUCCAUUCACUUCCCCUGUUGCCUAAAAUCGAGAAACAACAAGAAGGAAAAACGGAGACCUCUCUUACCUUCUCCAACCAUGAACACCAGCCAAGAAACAAGAGAAACUCCAGCUCAUUUAACCAAGGAAUCGAGAGAGGGAAACAAAAGAAAACCAGAAAUCUUGUUCCAGUCUAAACCGUGAAGAGACAAUAGAGUUGAACUCCACACAAGGAGUAAUACCUGACCGUGAUCCGUAAAGGCACUACAUCUUUGGUGAGUACUUCCAAAUACCUGAUUGAACUGGAUACUUGUUUUUAAUACUUGACCAAUGUGAUCGAAUGAUAUGUGAUUGGUAUGAUCGGGCAAGGGUGUACUUUAUCGCACUUGCCCUAACGUGAUAUGUACUUGUUUAUUGUUGCAAUUGAUUUGAGAUAUUUGUGUGUGACUUGUAAGUACUGAGCGGCAGUAUGUACCACACUCGAUCCGAGUGGGAGGUACCUCUCAUUCCCGUCUCCAUACUUUUAUCUUGAUUCAAUCGAUUGGAGUGUUAUCUCAUCGAUUUUUUGGGGAUCCAAACCCCAUUGGCUAGUUAAUCGAGUCGAGCCGGCAAGGGUUUGGUCGAUUAGAUAACGAACCAUGGGUAUCUAGUGUUGUCGAGUGGAGUGUUAUCUCCUCGACUAAUCGGUAUACUCGAGUAUUACCACCAGUGUUUAUUGUGGAGUUCGAGCCCAGUAAGAGGUUUGAUCGGUGGACGGAGAUUGGAGUGAAGUGGUGACCUACUGGACUAGUUUCUCACUUGAAAGUUGACGGAGUGCCAACUACCAAUUGAUCAAGCUAUGGUGGAGUCGAUAUAUGAGCAACUGUAUUCUUAUAUGUGAAAUGCGGAAAAAUUACGUGUCUAGCUAUAUGAAGUGUUAUUACUCAUUUCUUGACUUGUUUUGCUCGCUAUUUCACCAUUAUGCCACUGUUACUUUAUUUGCUGGACAAUUUGAUAUUUGGAACCUCCUUUAGUUUUGUUUUCCUUACAGGGGUACGAGCGAGGCGUGAGACGUGUACAGACUAGUUUAGACUAAUUGUUUUGACUUUCGAGUUGUACUCACGCUAUCAUUCGCUUAGAAUGCGUUGUACUUGUAUUGUAUACACUUUUAAGUAUUUUGGAUGUAUAGAUGUCUUGUAUCUGGGUUUGUGCAUCGAUGUAUAUUACAAGUUUGAAUUGCAAUGUUA
Long non-coding RNA from Coffea arabica (coffee), 1564 nucleotides. RefSeq lists it as uncharacterized. The record is from RefSeq and is a predicted model, not a curated record. NCBI's taxonomy places the organism in Eukaryota, Viridiplantae, Streptophyta, Magnoliopsida, Gentianales, Rubiaceae.